RNAcentral lists this ribosomal RNA (426 nucleotides) under Micrococcus luteus. Its description in RNAcentral is "bacterial SSU rRNA". It matches the Rfam family "Bacterial small subunit ribosomal RNA", at positions 28 to 453 of the family's 1533-position model. Lineage: Bacteria; Bacillati; Actinomycetota; Actinomycetes; Micrococcales; Micrococcaceae. The record is from RNAcentral.
GAUGAACGCUGGCGGCGUGCUUAACACAUGCAAGUCGAACGAUGAAGCCCAGCCUGCUGGGCGGAUUAGUGGCGAACGGGUGAGUAACACGUGAGUAACCUGCCCUUGACUCUGGGAUAAGCCCGGGAAACUGGGUCUAAUACCGGAUAGGAGCGCCUGUCGCAUGACGGGUGCUGGAAAGAUUUUUCGGUCAUGGAUGGACUCGCGGCCUAUCAGCUUGUUGGUGAGGUAACGGCUCACCAAGGCGACGACGGGUAGCCGGCCUGAGAGGGUGACCGGCCACACUGGGACUGAGACACGGCCCAGACUCCUACGGGAGGCAGCAGUGGGGAAUAUUGCACAAUGGGCGGAAGCCUGAUGCAGCGACGCCGCGUGAGGGAUGACGGCCCUUCGGGUUGUAAACCUUCUUUUCAGUAAGGGAAAGAA